AAUUGAUGCAGGGUGUGUGUGUGUGUGUGUGUGUGUGUGUGUGUGUGUGUGUGUGUGUGUGUGUGUGUGUGUGUGUGUGUGUGUGUGUGUGUGUGUGUGAAAUCAAAGCAACAAUCAAAGCCAAAUAGAACCUCCACAGCAACAUUCCAUUCCAGGCCUAUAUUAAGGGCAGGUUCACAGGACAACAGCUCUUCAGUCUGAUUUUUCAUCGAGCGCAGACACGGUUGUGUUAACGUGAGAAAGAAAAGUGAGGAACAAUGCAACAAUAUCUGUUCAUCAGAGACAACAACAGCAGUUUUCUGAGACAGAAUAUACCAGCCGAAUGAAAUGGAGUACUCCCGUACCCCGUAGACAUGUCUCAGGAGAGACUUAUCCAAGAGCUUGAAGACACCAAAAAGCAGCUGAAAAAGCAGAAAACCCUGGAGGAAAUGUACAUCAACAGGGGGAGAGAAACCACCAGAGAGUCAUAAGUUGAAAAACAGAGGCAGAAGGACAUAAUGAGGGAGCAACAGGCUAUGGGGCCUCGAUGUUCAUCAGCAGCAUGUAUCAAGUCAGCUAAACAUCGCUGCAGUGCAAUCGGCGAGCCCGAGAGGAAUAACAUUUUCAUGGACUUUUGGCAACAUAUGACCUGGGAGGAGAAGAGGGUGUUUGUGUGUGAUCUAAUUGAUGUGGUCCCAUGCAAAGGAGAAGGAGGGCUGAAAAUUCCCAAAGAUCAAAUUCCCUGUUGUUUUUUUUAUGGGUCAGCAGGCAGAGAAGAAGCAUCUGCAAAGAUAUGUUUUUGUCCACCCUAGGAACAGGCGAGUGGUCUGCACUUAACUGGGCAAAGGAAGGACACAUGCAAGCAGACACAGAGGGACAAACACACAGCGACACUCUUCAUUCAGUGGCAGGUCAUGAAUUCAUUUGCAGUUUUUUGCACAACCUCCCAAAGGUGCCCUGACACUACUGCAGAUCCACAACAUCCAAACAGUAUCUGGGACCUGUGUUUCAGUCGAUGGCUAAUCUGUGUGCAGUGUAUUGUCACACUGCAGCAGAGGAGAAUGUAACACUUUUCAAGGCAAGUGUUCACAGAUGAGUUCAACCUAGACCUUUACCACCCAAAAAAGGACCAGUGCAACAUCUGUUGUGCUUUCAAGACCAGCAACUUUCCUGAUAACGAGUGGCAGCACCACCUCCUUUGAAAAGAAGAGGCCCGCACCGAAAAGUUGUCCAACAAAAGCAAGGACAGCAACAAUAUCAUGGUCCUAUGUAUGGACUUACAAGCCGUCCUUUUGUGCCCAAAGCUGAAAGCUCCUGCUGUGCUUUACAAAACAAAGCUCACAGUUCACAGUUUUACUGUGUACAGCAUGCUGACACACAGUGCCUCAUCAUAUUAUGUCUGGCAUGAGUGUGUGUGUGUGUGUGUGUGUGUGUGUGUGUGCGUGUGUGUGUGUGUGUGUGUGUGUGUGUGUGUGUGUGUGUGUGUGUGUGUGUGUGUGUGUGUGUGUGUGUGUGUGUGUGUGUGUGUGAAAUCAAAGCAACAAUCAAAGCCAAAUAGAACCUCCACAGCAACAUUCCAUUCCGGGCCUACGUAUAUUAAGGGCAGGUUCACAGGACAACAGCUCUUCAGACUGACUUUUCAUCGAGCGCAGACACAGUCGUGUUAACGUGAGAAAGAAAAGUGAGGAAUAAGUGUUUGUAUCCUGCUGCCGUGACUCUUCACCUUCACACCGUCCUGUGUGCUCGAUCUGAUUCACAGCAGCAGACAUGAUGUGGCUGCUUUGACUGACAGCUUCACAUUGAAACUGUCCGUCUCUACUGUCAUGAUUACUGCUUCUGAAUCUGCAGCACGCAUGUGUUAGAACAAAUAGAACAUGUUUUCACUGCUGGGA
Long non-coding RNA from Acanthopagrus latus (yellowfin seabream), 1871 nucleotides. RefSeq lists it as uncharacterized. NCBI's taxonomy places the organism in Eukaryota, Metazoa, Chordata, Actinopteri, Spariformes, Sparidae. The transcript is spliced from 2 exons. The record is from RefSeq and is a predicted model, not a curated record.